GAUGAAGAACGUAGCGAAAUGCGAUACUUGGUGUGAAUUGCAGAAUCCCGUGAACCAUCGAGUCUUUGAACGCAAGUUGCGCCUCAAGCCAUUAGGUUGAGGGCACGUCUGCCUGGGCGUCACAUAUCGUUGCCUGAUGCCAGUUUCCUCGUGAUGGGUGAAUGUGCAGGGCGAAUGAUGGCUUCCCGUGAGCAUUGUUGCCUCAUGGUUGGUUGAAAAUUGAGUCCUUGGUAGGGAGCGCCGUGAUAGAUGGUGGUUGAGUGACGAACGAGACCCAAUCAUGUGAGACCCCUACCGAAUUUGGCCUUCAUGACCCACAUGCGUCUUUGGAACGCUCAUGACGAGACCUCAGGUCAGGCGGGGCUACCCGCUGAGUUUAAGCAUAUCAAUAAGCGGAGGA
This 400-nucleotide unclassified non-coding RNA is filed under the name soil metagenome. Its description in RNAcentral is "partial contains 5.8S ribosomal RNA, internal transcribed spacer 2, and large subunit ribosomal RNA". The stretch from base 1 to 122 matches the Rfam family "5.8S ribosomal RNA", at positions 35 to 154 of the family's 154-position model. The record is from RNAcentral.